AACGAACGCUGGCGGCAUGCCUAACACAUGCAAGUCGAACGAGACCUUCGGGUCUAUUGGCGCACGGGUUCGUAACGCGUGGGAACCUGCCCUUAUGUUCGGAAUAACUCCCCGAAAGGGGUGCUAAUACCGGAUAAUGUCUUCGGACCAAAGAUUUAUUGCCUUUGGAUGGGCCCGCGUUGGAUUAGCUAGUUGGUAGGGUAAAAGCCUACCAAGGCGACGAUCCAUAGCUGGUCUGAGAGGAUGAUCAGCCACACUGGGACUGGGACACGGCCCAGACUCCUACGGGAGGCAGCAGUGGGGAAUAUUGGACAAUGGGGGAAAGCCUGAUCCAGCAAUGCCGGGUGAGUGAUGAAGGCCUUAGGGUUGUAAAGCGCUUUUACCCGGGAUGAUAAUGACGGUACCGGGAGAAUAAGCUCCGGCUAACUCCGUG
Molecule: ribosomal RNA, 433 nt
Filed under: uncultured bacterium
Lineage: Bacteria
Description: partial 16S ribosomal RNA
Rfam family: Bacterial small subunit ribosomal RNA
Source: RNAcentral